This 253-nucleotide ribosomal RNA is filed under the name uncultured bacterium. RNAcentral describes it as "partial 16S ribosomal RNA". It matches the Rfam family "Bacterial small subunit ribosomal RNA", at positions 524 to 776 of the family's 1533-position model. The record is from RNAcentral.
UACGAAGGGUGCAAGCGUUAAUCGGAAUUACUGGGCGUAAAGGGUGCGUAGGCGGUUCGUUAAGUCUGUUGUGAAAUCCCCGGGCUCAACCUGGGAAUGGCAAUGGAUACUGGCGGGCUAGAGUGUGUCAGAGGAUGGUGGAAUUCCCGGUAUAGCGGUGAAAUGCGUAGAGAUCGGGAGGAACAUCAGUGGCGAAGGCGGCCAUCUGGGACAACACUGACGCUGAAGCACGAAAGCGUGGGGAGCAAACAGG